Molecule: non-coding RNA, 585 nt
Organism: Salvia hispanica
Lineage: Eukaryota; Viridiplantae; Streptophyta; Magnoliopsida; Lamiales; Lamiaceae
Source: RefSeq, a predicted model, not a curated record
AGUAAUGCUCGAGAGAUAUGUCUCAAAUAAGAAGAAACCUCUAGUAAGUCUAGUACUUCCCAGAUGCCCCUAAUCUCUAAUUGAUUUCACCUUCAAAUUAGGGGAGAUAGUCUUUCCCUACUCAUUCACACCAUUCGAUUAUUGAUUCUUUGAUUUCUGAGGAGUCGCGUUUAUUCUCUACAUUUGAGGGUUCAGAUUCGACUCUGUCCCUUGUCGGGGGUGUCGAUUGAAGGUCACACCGAGACAGAGUGCAGCAGGCGAAUCGAUGUGUAACAGUGUAAGUGAAGUAAUAAUGUCCUCAUCAAUUUCUUUACGUAUUCUUGUCGUGUGGGAUGGGCGUGAUGAAUUGCUGUCUGCAACCCUUUUACGUUGAUGUUCGUGACUACGAUAGCCGGUGCCCGGAUAGCAGUUAAUCUAUCUAAACUUUAAUUAGACAACUUUGGAUAGUUUCUUCAGGUUUUGUAGUUGUGUAGUUUUGCUGCUGUUGUUGUGAUGGUGUCUGUGUUUUGUAUGCCUUAGGAAGCAAGAAUAGCAAGUAGAUAAAAAUAUUGAUAUACAUUUUUUAUCAAUCUAUUGAUUGUAGUC